ACUCCUACGGGAGGCAGCAGUGGGGAAUAUUGGACAAUGGGCGCAAGCCUGAUCCAGCCAUGCCGCGUGAGUGAUGAAGGCCCUAGGGUUGUAAAGCUCUUUCACCGGUGAAGAUAAUGACGGUAACCGGAGAAGAAGCCCCGGCUAACUUCGUGCCAGCAGCCGCGGUAAUACGAAGGGGGCUAGCGUUGUUCGGAUUUACUGGGCGUAAAGCGCACGUAGGCGGACUAUUAAGUCAGGGGUGAAAUCCCGGGGCUCAACCCCGGAACUGCCUUUGAUACUGGUAGUCUUGAGUUCGAGAGAGGUGAGUGGAAUUCCGGGUGUAGAGGUGAAAUUCGUAGAUAUUCGGAGGAACACCAGUGGCGAAGGCGGCUCACUGGCUCGAUACUGACGCUGAGGUGCGAAAGCGUGGGGAGCAAACAGGAUUAGAUACCCGUGUAGUCC
RNAcentral lists this ribosomal RNA (444 nucleotides) under uncultured organism. RNAcentral describes it as "partial 16S ribosomal RNA". It matches the Rfam family "Bacterial small subunit ribosomal RNA", at positions 335 to 796 of the family's 1533-position model. The record is from RNAcentral.